RNAcentral lists this ribosomal RNA (301 nucleotides) under uncultured Acidovorax sp. RNAcentral's name for it is "bacterial SSU rRNA". It matches the Rfam family "Bacterial small subunit ribosomal RNA", at positions 499 to 798 of the family's 1533-position model. The record is from RNAcentral. Lineage: Bacteria; Pseudomonadati; Pseudomonadota; Betaproteobacteria; Burkholderiales; Comamonadaceae.
AACUACGGGCCAGCAGCCGCGGUAAUACGUAGGGUGCAAGCGUUAAUCGGAAUUACUGGGCGUAAAGCGUGCGCAGGCGGUGAUGUAAGACAGGUGUGAAAUCCCCGGGCUUAACCUGGGAACUGCACUUGUGACUGCAUCGCUGGAGUACGGCAGAGGGGGAUGGAAUUCCGCGUGUAGCAGUGAAAUGCGUAGAUAUGCGGAGGAACACCGAUGGCGAAGGCAAUCCCCUGGGCCUGUACUGACGCUCAUGCACGAAAGCGUGGGGAGCAAACAGGAUUAGAAACCCGAGUAGUCCAAC